UUGGUGGAGCCAAUGGGUUUAAUUCGAAGCAACGCGAAGAACCUUACCAGGUCUUGACAUCCUUUGACCACUCUAGAGAUAGAGCUUUCCCCUUCGGGGGACAGAGUGACAGGUGGUGCAUGGUUGUCGUCAGCUCGUGUCGUGAGAUGUUGGGUUAAGUCCCGCAACGAGCGCAACCCUUGACCUUAGUUGCCAGCAUUCAGUUGGGCACUCUAAGGUGACUGCCGGUGACAAACCGGAGGAAGGUGGGGAUGACGUCAAAUCAUCAUGCCCCUUAUGACCUGGGCUACACCUGCCUACAAUGGAA
This 307-nucleotide ribosomal RNA is filed under the name Alkalihalophilus pseudofirmus. RNAcentral describes it as "bacterial SSU rRNA". It matches the Rfam family "Bacterial small subunit ribosomal RNA", at positions 931 to 1235 of the family's 1533-position model. Lineage: Bacteria; Bacillati; Bacillota; Bacilli; Caryophanales; Bacillaceae. The record is from RNAcentral.